This is a long non-coding RNA of Anolis carolinensis (green anole), 2600 nucleotides long. RefSeq lists it as uncharacterized. The transcript is spliced from 2 exons. The record is from RefSeq and is a predicted model, not a curated record. Lineage: Eukaryota; Metazoa; Chordata; Lepidosauria; Squamata; Anolidae.
CCUGAGGAGGGGAAAAUGGCGGCUGAGGCCUUGACAGCGUAGGGAGGCCUAGAAUCCUGGAUCCCCGGCGCCGUCGGAGCGUAGGCCUCAAAAUGUAUGUGGAGUGUGAAAAUUUUCCACCAAGCAAUAUAGUAUCUCCGAUGACGGCUCCCACCAAAGCAGCCUAACAAAAUCCCACGUUUCGUCAAGAGGAUUAAAGGCCGUCCAGCAGUGAACUCAGCAUGUAUUUGCCAAGUGACACUUCCCUGGGUUUUAGGGAAUGUAAGGCAUGACUUGUAGAAUCAGGUUACUAAUUCACAAGAUUGACACGGAUUGUGCCAGAGCCAAUUAAUGCAACCUAUUUGCGGUACAGCCACACAUGGACCGUGUGGAAGAACUUAGCAUAGAGAAGAGACUUCUCAAGAUGGAAUGGGUAACAGUUUGGCAUUUGCAAGUUCCAUGUCACAGGCUGAGGACCUUGGAAAACUACAAGUCCCAUCAGUCCAAUCCCUAGGAAAGGCAUGUUCCUGAAAGCUCUGCACUCAAGCCCAGAUGCUACUAGGCAAAAUAGACUAAUUGUCUGACUAGGUAUGUGCCCAUUUUCUAUGUUGCUAAAAGAGAGGCAAUUAAAGUAUAAUGUAAAUAGGUACAGAUCCAGCAUCCUGACUCUGGAAUUCAAAACCCACUGGGGUGUCUGAGAUAGUGCCACCUUUGUUUUCUGAGGUUGAGUGUUCACCAACUUUUUUCAUGCACAUUAUAUUAAAAAUAUUGCGUACCAACUUGGGUACCCAGGGUUGCCCGGACUAUUCGAAAAAAUCCGUUUUUAAUUGUACAAAAUGCAUAAGCUUGUGGGUGAACAACUCUCACCAUGGCAGGUUAACCCCAAAAUCUUCAUCAGUACUUAAAAGUGUGUUAUGGUGGGCACAUUUGUUCUGGAUGUAUCAUGGGUGGGCUUCAGUGUGCGCUCUGGCUGUAGGGUAAACUACAACUCCCACUAUGGCAAAUCAGUCCCUACAAACCCCUCCAGUAGGUUGAGUUAAUCAUGGGGGUUCUGUGUGCCAAAUCCAUAAAGUCCAUCAUCAGUGAAGGUCACAGUUCCCCUGGUUGUGGGUGAACUACAACUCCCAGAAAGGAAGGUCAGAUUCCCCCAAACCCCUCCAGGAAUCAAAUUUCAGCAUAUCAAGUAUGUGUGUCAAGUUUGGCCCAGAUCCAUCGGUGUUUGGGUUCAGAGUGCUCUCUGGAUGUAGGUGAACUACAACUCCCCUAAAUAAAGGUAAAUUUUUCCCAAAGAUGGCCAGUAUUUUUUGCCAGUCAUGGAGGCCCUGUGUGCCAAGUUUGGUCCAAUUCCAUCUUUGGUGGAGUUCAGAGUACUCAUUGAUUGCAGGCGAACUAUACAUCCCAGUAUCCACAACUCCAAAAUGUCCAGGCCAAUUCCCCUCACAAGCCCUCAAAUUUUUGUUGCUGUUACUAUUAUGUUCAGUUCCUGUAACCCAGGGGUCCCCAAAUUAAGGCCUGGGGGCCAGAUGCAGCCCUCCAAGGUCAUUUACCUGGCCCCCGCCCUCAGUUUUAUAAUAUUUUUAUAUCAGUUUUAAUAAUAUAAUAUAUUGUAUAUACAUAUAAUAUUAAUAAUCUUAUGUUAUACAAUAUAAUACUAAUAGUAAUACCAUAUAAUAAUAUUAAUUAUAUGUUAUAUAUUGCAUAUUAUAUAAUAGUAUAGUGGUAUAGUUCAAUAUAGUAAUGUAUAAUGCUAAUAUUGUGUUAAGCUAAUACAGUAGAGUCUCACUUAUCCAAGCUAAAUGGGCCGGCAGAAGCUUGGAUAAGCGAAUAUGUUGGAUAAUAAGGAGGGAUCAAGGAAAAGCCUAUUAAACCUCAAAUUAGGUUAUGAUUUUACAAAUUAAGCAUCAAAACAUCAUGUUAUACAACAAAUUUGACAGAAAAAGUAGUUCAAUAUGCAGUUGUUAUGUUGUAAUUACUGUAUUUACAAAUUUAGCACCAAAAUAUCACGAUAUAUUGAAAACAUUGACUACAAAAAUGGCUUGGAUUAUCCAGAGGCUUGGAUAAGUGAGGCUUGGAUAAGUGAGACUCUACUGUAAUAUAUUGUAUGUACAUACAGCUGCUCUGAGUCCCCUUCGGGGUGAGAAGGAUGGGAUAUAAAUGCAGUAAAUAAAUGCAGUAAAUAAAUAAUUAAUUUUAGACUUAGGCUCUGCCAAAGUCUGACAUGACUUGAAGGCACACAACAACAACAAUCCUAAUUAGCUUGACUAUCUCAUUGGCCAGUAGCAGGCCCACACUUUCCAUUGAAAUCCUAAUAGGUUUAUGUUGGUUAAAAUUGUUUUCAUUUUUAAAUAUUGUAUUGUUCUUUCGUUGUUGUUGCACUUCAAAUAAGACAUGUGCAGUAUAUGCAUAGGAAUUUGUUUGUAUUUUUUUUCCAAAUGAUAAUUUGAAGGCACACAACAACAACAAUCCUAAUUAGCUUGACUAUCUCAUUGGCCAGUAGCAGGCCCACACUUUCCAUUGAAAUCCUAAUAGGUUUAUGUUGGUUAAAAUUGUUUUCAUUUUUAAAUAUUGUAUUGUUCUUUCGUUGUUGUUGCACUUCAAAUAAGACAUGUGCAGUAUAUGCA